GGAAUAAACACCAAGACACAUUUUUUUACUGCCUUUUUCACUUGACACUUUAAAUAACACUAAGGGAAACAUGAGAUCAAUUGUAAAGAAAUGUGGCCCAGGUUGAAUAGCCAAUUAAGAAAAUAUUCAUGUGACCCAUUUUAGGAAAACCUGAUACUUGAAUAUCCUUCCAUCUAGAAAAACUAAUAGUUUAGGAGUAAUUUUUAAUACAGCAUAUCUUCUUAAAAGCAAUUCAAUAGAGGGUUUAAAAGAUGAGCCACGAAAAUGAACUGAAACAAAUGAAAUGUUGGUUCCAAGAAAUCUCCAAUUUUCAAAUUUCAUGUUUAUCAACUAGGAUGCCUUCACUGCAAGCAAAGAGGACUUUUCACACAGGCACAAACAGUAAGACAACGUAUUACAUUUGUUAAGAGGACGUUUAGGGUGCUGUGGGGUUCUGGGCUGUGAUUCAGCCGCUGGCGAUGCUGGCAGGAAAGGUCCUCCCUCCCUCUGCUUGGCCAUCCUCAGUGGCUACAUCUGCUCCCCUUGUAGUUGUGAGAUGGCUUCAGGAGUUCUGGGUCUCAAACCCAGACAUUUGACAUCCAGGGAACAGGACAGAAACAGACCAUCUCUUCACAGGAUUCCUUAAGAAUGAGGGAAGCUUUUCCAGAGGGUUCUGCAGCCAUCUGUUUUUGACAUGUUGGUCAGCACUAGGUCAGAUCCCACCCCCAGCCCAUUGCCAGGACUUUGUGACUACAAGAUCUGCACAGCCUGGACCAGCCACGGGAAGGGGUGGAGUUGUGAGUUGUGGCCUCUGGGUCACCUAGGAAAUGAGUGGAUACCUGAACAAAACCAAAGUUUGAUCAGGAAUCUAUUCUAGUUACAUUGUUCUAGAUUAGCAGUUUCUGAAGACAUAUGAAUUCAGUUCUGGCUUGAAUUGAUUGGCUAAGAAUUUAAAACACUUUUAAAUUCAGAUGAGAGUGUCAAGGUCAGAUGAAUUUAGGGGCUAGCAAUUAGGGCAAUUUUUUCCAGAUGUUACUUCAGUUUUAGUCUGCUGUUUCAAAUAUACGGUAAUUUACUUUGUAGACAUGCUGAACACACAACUUUUGAGCAUCAAUGUAUCGUGAAAAUAAGGAUUACUUAUGCUUGCUUUGGAUAGUAUUCUGACAGAAAAAUAUAGAUGUACUCCAAUGGUAGUACUGAGAGGUGCUUUGGAAGUCGAAUUUCUGUUGCUUCUUAUAAAGUAUUAAAAUGUCAUUUUAAAUAUGCCAUUCUUUAUAUCUGAUAUUAAAAUUUCCAUAAAGACAUGAUAAUUAAAUUUUAUAGGUAACUGAAGAAUACAAUUAAUGCAAUUCCAAACAUGUAGUAAUUAGUUUGAUUGACAUCAAAUAUGGAAAAAAGAAAAGUUGAACUUCUUGUGUCUAAACGUAUUUUGGGAAUAAUCCCCAUAAAAAAAUUCAACCUUCUCAAAACAGCCUAUUUUAACCUAAUUUGGUGAAUAUAGAUUUGUAUGAUAAUGCUAUGUUGUUUAUCUUGAGGUAUUUGGGGAUGUGACCAGUUUUAGCCAACUCCCAAAUAAAAAUUAAUCCAAAUAGCAUUUCUGGCAGUUUCCGAAAUUGUUAAGCUGAUUUGUCCUGCUGCAGCUUGUCAUGAUGACCAUGAUAACUGAGGCAGGUCAAAUGGCUUCUUUAUAUUCUAU
This 1675-nucleotide long non-coding RNA is filed under the name Homo sapiens (human). RNAcentral's name for it is "HSALNT0265594". The record is from RNAcentral. Lineage: Eukaryota; Metazoa; Chordata; Mammalia; Primates; Hominidae.